RNAcentral lists this long non-coding RNA (839 nucleotides) under Arabidopsis lyrata. RNAcentral describes it as "long non-coding RNA (ALYR_LNC002523)". The record is from RNAcentral. Lineage: Eukaryota; Viridiplantae; Streptophyta; Magnoliopsida; Brassicales; Brassicaceae.
GUGAUUUUAAUUAGAAAAUCUUAACAACGUAAAGAUUGUAUACUCCGAUCCGCAAUCCAAUGGUUGCUCCUCAACAGGCCUGCUCCUCAAGUAAGUCACUAAGUCUUGAACCUUAUUAACCUGCGAUUUUUAUUCAAUAUAAUUGAAUAGUUAUUACUUUUAACACGUAACAAGAUCACUACAAGAAAAGGUGGUCUUCUUGUUCUUGUGGAAGUUAGAAGUUUAAAGAGAUUGAUUUGUUUUACGUGAAAGUCACAGAAUCUCUGUAAUGCUAGAUCGAUUUGUUUCCUCAAACAAUUUCUCUGAGCUUUGUCUUGUCUUACAGGUGAUUCCAUUGGAGCUUUUUGAAUCUGAGAAAUGAAUAAACAUUAAAAUCCAAAACCUCUUUAUUGAUGUUGAAUUUCUAGUUUAGCAUGUGUUCAGAUUGGAUCUAGGAUUGAAGACAACCUAGACGAAAUCAGAAGCUUAGUAAACCGGAGUUGGUUAAAACCUUAGAGAAGGUUACAAAUAGGCAUGGGCGUUUGGGUCUUCGGGUCAGGUUCGGGUAGGGUAAUUCGGGUUUGGGUAUUUUCGGGUCUUGCUUAAGAGGAACCAAAUGGGUAUAUAUAUAAUUUCGGGUCGGGUUCGGUUCGGUUUUAUUCGGGUUUGGGUAUAUUCGGGUAUUGAAUUUAAAACCCGAGAAAUACCCGAACUAAUUUCGACAUGUCCUAAUUUACAACUUUACAGAGCUGUGGAAACGGGAAGAAAGCAGGCUACGUUUCAUGUUGAAAACGAGAGAGAAUAAACAUUGCCUUUUACUAUCAGAUUGACAUGCUCAGUAUCUCAAAACUCAAUCCUCC